GGGCGACCGCGUGGCCAGACUGCGGUCACUCGACUAGACCCGGCCUCAAUGGCUUAAACUCUCCUAACUGGCCCGAACCUUCGAGAGGGCGCUCCCUGCCCCGGGUCGUCCCCUGCUCUACUCCCGCCACCUCGACCUCUGGUGGCGCUAGGGAAUCUGAAAGCCGCGGGGCCUGAGCGGCGCCGGACUCCACCUGGCCCGGGGCGCGGUUGACCCCAAAGUCGGCCUUCUGGGUUGUAAAAAGGUGGAGAAAGGAGAAGCUCGAUCGGGUCAACUUUGAAAAAGGAAUGCCCUCGCUUCCAGAAAUUAGCGGAGUGCAGGCAUUCCCGGCUCCGGCGGCCGCGGGGCGGUCUUCGCACCCGGGGGCGUUUCGCUUGGAAACGGACUGCAGCGGGGCCACCACACCCGUGGCAUAGGGGUCCAAUCGGAGCCACAGCUGCUGGCCUAGGCCACAGCAACAGCAGAUCUGUGCCCCAUCUGCGACUUAUUCCUGAGCAGGGCCAGGGAUGGAACCCACAUCCUCAUGGAUAUUAGUCAGGUUGUUACCACUGAGACACAACAGGAGCUCCCAUUAACAUGAAUUUUCAUCUCAGCAUAAAUGCACAUAAAUUUUUCUACUUUUCUCUAUCAUUAUGGACUCAUAUUUUAUUGCAUAUGCCUGACUUAAAAAUUCUAGAAAUGAGGAACUGAUGGAUUAAAGGCAAAGUAUAUUUUUCAAAUGUUUUCUAAACUGUCUUUGAGGAAACUUUAUUAGUUUUCUUUUGAGAAAUGCCCCCUUUUCCAUAUCCCUGACAACCCAGACUAUAUUUUCAAAUUUAAAGUUGUUCUUUCUCACUGUUUUGAAUUUCACUUCUUAAAUCACUACUUAGCUGGUUUGUUUUUCCACAUAGUUAUUGAUUGUUUGUAAUUUUUUGGUGAAUUUGCUUGUGUCCCUUUGCCCACUUUCCUAUAUGUCCAUUUAAGAAAGUUGGGAAAUUGACUCCUGGGUAUAUAUCCAAAGAAAACAAAAACACUAAUUCAGAAAGUCACAUGCACCCCAAUGUUCAUAGCAGCACUAUUUACAGUAGCCAAGAUAGGGACGCAUCCUGAGUGUCCAUCAGCAGGUGAAUGGGUAAAGAAGCAGUACAAACCUGUGCAAUAGAAUACUACUCAGCCAUAAAAGAAUGAAAUUCUGGAGUUCCCGUCGUGGCUCAAUGGUUAAUGAACCCAACUAGCAUCCAUGAGGAUGGGGGUGGCCUUGCUCAGUGGGUUAAGGGUCCAGUGUAGCCAUGAACUGCGGUGUAGGUAGCAGAUGUGGCUCGAGUCCACAUUGCUGUGGCUGUGGCAUAGGCUGGUAGCUACAGUUCUGACUGGACCCCUAGCCUGUGAACCUCCAUAUGCUGUGGGUGCGGCCUUAGAAAGACAAGAAAAAAAAAAUGAAAUUCUGCCAUUUUGGACACCAUGGACAGACCUGGAGGAUAUUGUGCGUAGUGAAAUAAGUCAAACAGAGACAAAUGCAAAGAACAAACUAGUGGUUACUGGUGGGGCGGCAAAAGAGGGGCAGGGGGUUAAGAGGUACAAAUGACCUUGUAUAAAAUAAAUAAGCUACCAGGGUUUAUUGUAUAGCACAGGGAAUAGAGCCAAUGUUUUAUUAUAACAACGUCAAUUUUGAAUCACUGUGCUGUGCAUCUGGAACUAAUGCAACAUUGUAAAUCAACUAUACCUCAAUUUUUUAAACAUUGGGAAAUUGGUUUUAUUUGGCCAGAGCAGGGGAGGCAGGAGUGGGGGAGGCACACCUUAGAAACUAAAAGCCUUUUAUGGUUUCUGCCUUUGAUACUAUGUUGAGAGGCCACCACACCCCAUGCCAAAUGAAAUUUCAUGUGUGUCUGUAUACACACACACACACACACACACACACACACACAUAUAUUUGCUUUUUAGGGCACACCUAUGGCAUAUGGAAGUUCCCAGGCUAGGGGUCCAAUCAGAGCUGUAGCCAUCAGCCUACACCACAGCCACAGCAACACCAGAUCCAAGCCACAUCUUCCACCUACACCACAGCUCACAGCAACGCUGGAUCCUUAACCCACUGAAUGAGGCCAGGGAUCGAACCCGAUCUUCAUGGAUACUAGUAGGGUUCGUUUUUGCUGCACCACAAUGGGAACUCCCGAUGUUUAUAUUUUUACUGCAGAAAAUAAGGUUUAAUAUCUAGGAGUGGAAGUUCUCCCCUUUCUACAUAGAUUCCUUUUGUUUCCCCAAAAAAUGUCCUUGACUAGAAUCACUCAUUUAUUCUUCUAAAUAAAUUUUGGAAUUUCUUGGCAA
This 2301-nucleotide long non-coding RNA is filed under the name Sus scrofa (pig). RNAcentral's name for it is "lncRNA (ENSSSCG00065075200.1)". The record is from RNAcentral. Lineage: Eukaryota; Metazoa; Chordata; Mammalia; Artiodactyla; Suidae.